AUGCUUCUUAAUGAGGUCCACCUUGACGAGCUCACCAAGAACGAAAUCAUUUGGAAGCAUACGAGCAAUGGGCAGUACUCGGCGACUUCCGCAUACAAGGCGCAAUUCCUAGGGAUGAUCCUUUUGCCCAUGGAUAGGAUGGUUUGGAAGGUUUGGGCACCACCAAUAUAUUUUUUUGCUUGGCUAGCUCUUCAAGAUAGAAUCUGGACGACGGAUAGAUUGGCAAAGCGAGGAUGGCCAAAUUGUGAUGUUUGCCCUCUCUACAUGAGGGUGCAAGAGUGCGGGCCCCAUCUCUUCUACAAGUGCCACUACACCCGGCGCAUUUGGUCUUUGGUCAUUGGGAAAUUCCCCAUGCUCGGGCUCGACACUUCUGCUUGGCCCAUGUUUGACAGAGUUGAAGAUUGGUGGGCAAGCACUUGCGUCGAAGGAAAGCCAGAUCGACAAGCCAAGGCCUCCAUCACCAUGCUUCUCUCUUGGACAGUCUGGAACGAGCGGAACACAAGGGUUUUUAAGCAUAAGAGUGCCCCACCGCCAAUCUUGCUUUCUUCCAUCUCCACCGAGGCAAACCUUUGGGUCAUUGCCGGAGCAAAGAAAGUAUGGUCUUUUAUUGUGCGCGAGUAA
RNAcentral lists this ribosomal RNA (621 nucleotides) under Triticum aestivum (bread wheat). RNAcentral's name for it is "partial small subunit ribosomal RNA". Lineage: Eukaryota; Viridiplantae; Streptophyta; Magnoliopsida; Poales; Poaceae. The record is from RNAcentral.